Molecule: unclassified non-coding RNA, 133 nt
Filed under: soil metagenome
Description: partial internal transcribed spacer 1
Source: RNAcentral
UUGAUAAUAUAGUUUAUACUAUCAUUAAUUAUGUGCACUGUUACCGCCAAUUGGCGGCCGUAAGGUCGUCAAUUGGCCCCAAUUAAAAUAUUUAUUAAUAACCUUUUAUACCAGUAAUCAUAUAAACUUAUGA